AUGACUUAUAUCUGCGUCCUCAUCUGGACUCUCCUCUGCUGCUGCUUCACAGAGUCCAGAGGUCAGGUCACAUUGACUCAGCCUGCAGCAGUGAGAGCUGAUCUGGGAGGAUCUGUCAGCAUCAGCUGCAGGACCAGUCAGAAUGUUCAUGUUUCUAGCAGUUACCAUCUUUUAGCCUGGUAUAAACAGCAAGAGGGACAAACUUACAAGCUGCUCAUUUAUUACACCAGCUCUCGAGCAUCAGGGACUCCAAGUCGUUUUACAGGCAGUGGAUCAAACUCUGACUUCACUCUGACCAUCACUGGAGUUCAGGCUGAAGAUGCUGCUGUUUACUACUGUCAGAGUGAAAAUUUCGUCAACAGUCAGUAUGUGUUCACACAGUGA
Molecule: non-coding RNA, 384 nt
Organism: Cyprinodon variegatus (sheepshead minnow)
Lineage: Eukaryota; Metazoa; Chordata; Actinopteri; Cyprinodontiformes; Cyprinodontidae
Source: the annotation of a RefSeq genome assembly